Molecule: ribosomal RNA, 253 nt
Filed under: uncultured bacterium
Lineage: Bacteria
Description: partial 16S ribosomal RNA
Rfam family: Bacterial small subunit ribosomal RNA
Source: RNAcentral
GACGAACCGAGCGAACGUUAUUCGGAAUCACUGGGCUUAAAGGGCGCGUAGGCGGGCCGUCAAGUCAGGGGUGAAAGCCUCCAGCUCAACUGGAGAAGUGCCUCUGAUACUGGCGGCCUCGAGCGAGGUAGGGGCGUGCGGAACUUCCGGUGGAGCGGUGAAAUGCGUAGAUAUCGGAAGGAACAUCGGUGGCGAAAGCGGCGCGCUGGACCACAUCUGACGCUGAGGCGCGAAAGCUAGGGGAGCAAACAGG